Molecule: long non-coding RNA, 205 nt
Organism: Thalassophryne amazonica
Lineage: Eukaryota; Metazoa; Chordata; Actinopteri; Batrachoidiformes; Batrachoididae
Exons: 3
Source: RefSeq, a predicted model, not a curated record
CGUUGCGCCAGGGUCAGGUCUUCCCGGAGUCGGGUUGUUUGGGAAUGCAGCCCAAAGCAUUUGGUAAACUCCAUCUAAGGCUAAAUACCGGCACGAGACCAAUAGUCGACAAGUACCUUAAGGGAAAGUUGAAAAGAACUUUCAAGAGAGAGUUCAAGAGGGCGUGAAACUGUUGAGAGGGAAAGAGGGUAGUUCUCAGUGGUCG